GCAGCGUCAGAUGUGUAUAAGAGACAGGGUUGAAGCGCAGGUAAAAUUGCGUGGAGGACCGAACCUGUGAGCGUUGAAAAGCUUUAGGAUGAGAUGUGGGUAGAGGUGAAAUUCCAAUCGAACGCGGAGAUAGCUGGUUCUCCCCGAAAUAGCUUUAGGGCUAGCCUCAAGUAGUAAGUAUAGGCGGUAGAGCACUGAUCGGGCUAGGGGCCAUAAAGGUUACCGAACCCUGUCAAACUCCGAAUGGUUAUACUGUAGAGCUUGGGAGUCAGACUACGAGUGAUAAGAUCCGUGGUCAAAAGGGAAACAGCCCAGACCACCAGCUAAGGUCCCCAAUGUCGUACUAAGUGGAAAAGGAUGUGGGGUCUCUAAAACAACCAGGAUGUUGGCUUAGAAGCAGCCACCAUUUAAAGAGUGCGUAAUAGCUCACUGGUCGAGAGACCCUGCGCCGAAGAUUACCGGGGCUAAAGUACGAAACCGAAGCUGUGGCUACGACACAUGUCGUGGGGUAGGGGAGCGUUCUGUGAGGGCUGAAGUCGUUCUGUAAGGAACGGUGGACUUCACAGAAGUGAGAAUGUUGGUAUGAGUAGCGAAAAGAAUGGUGAGAAUCCAUUCCACCGAAAGCAUAAGGAUUCCUGGGCAACGAUCGUCGUCCCAGGGUAAGUCGGGACCUAAUCCGAGGCAUGGAGCGUAGGAGAUGGACAACUGGCAGAUAUUCCAGUACCGGUAAUGAUUGUUUGAGCGAUGGAGUGACACAGGAGGGCAGGCAGGCAGGAGAUUGGUUGUUCCUGUACAAGCGUGUAGGAUGGGAUGCAGGCAAAUCCGCGUCCUGUGAGUCUGAGGCGUGAUGUGGAGGUUCCGGAAACGGAACUGAAGCUGCUGACCCCACACUGUCGAGAAAAGCUUCUAGUUAGAGAAUUACCGCCCGUACCGUAAACCGACACAGGUAUGCGGGGAGAGAAUCCUAAGGUGCGCGGGAGAACCCUCGUUAAGGAACUCGGCAAAAUGUACCCGUAACUUCGGGAUAAGGGUAGCCGCUGUUGUGAAGUCUGAACAGACGGAGCAUGAGGCGGUCGCAGAGAAGAGGCCCAAGCGACUGUUUACCACAAACACAGGUGCCUGCUAAAGAGAAAUCUGACGUAUAGGUGCUGACACCUGCCCAGUGCCGGAAGGUUAAGGAAGGAUGUCCGGAGCAAUCCAAAGCAUUCGACCGAAGCCCCGGUGAACGGCGGCCGUAACUAUAACGGUCCUAAGGUAGCGAAAUUCCUUGUCGGGUAAG
RNAcentral lists this ribosomal RNA (1279 nucleotides) under human gut metagenome. Its description in RNAcentral is "bacterial LSU rRNA". It matches the Rfam family "Bacterial large subunit ribosomal RNA", at positions 720 to 1980 of the family's 2925-position model. The record is from RNAcentral.